Molecule: long non-coding RNA, 2040 nt
Organism: Ictalurus punctatus (channel catfish)
Lineage: Eukaryota; Metazoa; Chordata; Actinopteri; Siluriformes; Ictaluridae
Source: Ensembl
CACCCACCCACCCACCCACACACCCACCCACACACACACACACACACACGGUAGCAGAGCUACCGGACAACAAUAAUCCGAUGUUAACCCGAUUAAGAUGAUACUCGGAUUAAGAAACUAGCAUGUAAACAGCGAUUAUUGAUGACCUUAAUCCGAUUGGGGACGUAAUGACGUGUGACGUUAAUCCAUCUACGUUCUAUAACAUGUAAAACCUGAACAUGAAAGGAAUAUUCUAAAAGCGACUCAUGUAAACACCUUAAUCAGAAUAUUGUCUUAUUCAGAAUAAGGUCAAUAAUUAGAUUACUGCUGUCCGUGUAAACGUAGUCAAUGACCCAAAACACUACAAACACAACAAAGGACUUCAGUAGGGGGGAAAACAUCGAAGGGUUUAGACUGGCCAAGUCAAUCACCAGAUUUUAUCUCAGUCAAGCAUGCAUUUUACCUCCUGAAGAGGAGACUGAAAAAAGACUCCCCAAAACAAACAAACAAACAAAAAAAGUGACAGAAGCUGUGGUACAAACCUGGAAAAUCAUCAAAAAGAAGAAUGCAACAGUUUGGUGAUGUAACUGGGUCACCGGCUUGAUGCAGGAUUCAGGAGGACACUCAUCUACAGCUCCCCGGUUGUUCUUGGUUUUGUUAGUCUUGCAAUGGCGUCCAUCUUUCGCACCUGGUUCAGCGGGACGCAUGUUGCAGAGCACACAGCAUCUCUCCUACACCUUAAUAAGCUGCAGCUACACAAACGUAAACACAGUGGAGUAAACAAGCACUUACAAAGUGCUUCACAUCCAGUAAACACAGCUGCACUUCCGCAAGAUGAGAUAGUUAUUUGCAUUAAGCCUCUUAGCUAGAUAACUAGCUAGUUAAGUGAUGUUAGCACAUGACAGACAAUGACAAGGCAGAUGGAAAUAAAUAUACCUAAAUGUAUAUUUCAAUAGUCGACUUCUUUAAAUGUUUAUUCACCUUCUAGUUUAUGUACCCACGAAAGCUAACAUGUAAAUUAAAGUUAGCAACAGCCUGCUAAUCUCCGCAAAAGCAGUCGCUUCCUGUUUAAAACGGAUGUUGGGAAGUGUAGUUUCCACAAAUGGUUAAUACCAAUGACCGUGUAUAUUUGAGUGGACUUCAUAGCGUCAUUUUUUUUCUCCUACUGUGCGGUUUUGUAGCCUUUUUUGGUCAAAAUCUGUAACGGUAUAUAUAUGAGUAGACAUCAUGGCGCCAUUUACUUCCAUUGUGCGCUUUUAAAGCCUUUUUUGGUCGAUUUGGGAAUACUGGAGCCAGAGCAUGCGCAGUAGAGACCUUGGAGCCAGAGCAUGCGCAGUAGAGACCUUGGAGCCAGAGCAUGCGCAGUAGAUACCAUAUUGGUGAUGGAAACUGUAAAUGAAAGUGUACAUUGUAAGAUAUUGCCUGAACAGGAACUAAAUAUGGUACAUUGGUUAAACAUGGUUUGUCCAUCAUUUUAAUCUAAGUAAUGUAAGUAUAAGUAGCCAAUAUGAUGUACCAACUAAAAAUAUACUGGUAAACUGCAUUAAACAUUUACACUCAGCACAACCUAUUUUUUGAGAAAAACUCAUCGCUGCCUACCAUGAUUUUCAUCUAGCUCUAACACCUGCCAUAACUUACCCACCGAGUAACUUACCCAUAACUUACCCACUUAUCCAACAGAGAAAUGCUCCAGUCAACCUCUCGUGGAGUUUGUUUAAAAAAGGAGUGACUGUCUAAACUAGCUAAACAAAGCUACUUCGAGUGUUUCCUAUGGUCAUACAUUAAAUUGUAGAUUAUUAUGAAAUGUAGUUAGCUGCCAUAGUGUUUCACUCAUAUUGGUUUGCUAGUUAUAAUAUCAGUACAAAGAGCUAGCUUAGACAUCAAAAAUGAUAAACAUACCAGGAAAAACUGCAAAGAACUCCCCGCUGAGGGUCUGUUAGAACAGUCAACAGCAGAACAAGACAUGUCUUUGUUACAGAACUGUCAAGAGCUUCAGGUGUGUAUUGGAGAAUACGAGCAUGUUUAUGAGACUCAACUGUCAUGUUCAAAACUGUCCAUCAC